UACGGAGGAUCCGAGCGUUAUCCGGAUUUAUUGGGUUUAAAGGGAGCGUAGAUGGAUGUUUAAGUCAGUUGUGAAAGUUUGCGGCUCAACCGUAAAAUUGCAGUUGAUACUGGAUAUCUUGAGUGCAGUUGAGGCAGGCGGAAUUCGUGGUGUAGCGGUGAAAUGCUUAGAUAUCACGAAGAACUCCGAUUGCGAAGGCAGCCUGCUAAGCUGCAACUGACAUUGAGGCUCGAAAGUGUGGGUAUCAAACAGGAUUAGAUACCCUGGUAGUCCACACGGUAAACGAUGAAUACUCGCUGUUUGCGAUAUACUGCAAGCGGCCAAGCGAAAGCGUUAAGUAUUCCACCUGGGGAGUACGCCGGCAACGGUGAA
RNAcentral lists this ribosomal RNA (372 nucleotides) under uncultured bacterium. Its description in RNAcentral is "bacterial SSU rRNA". It matches the Rfam family "Bacterial small subunit ribosomal RNA", at positions 524 to 898 of the family's 1533-position model. The record is from RNAcentral.